GCCACGCCCACCACACCCCUUCUGAAUUCUUGAUCUACAUGGUCCAUUGGCAGGGUGCAUGAGGCACGUUUUGUAAGGACACAUUGAUGAGGGACCCACCUUUCCCCAGUAUGACCUUGUCAUAAUGACACCUUCAGCUAUCCUGUUUUCAAAUAAGACACCAAAAGAUCCUGAAGCCUGCUCUCCAAGGAUAUGCAGGGUCAACUGCAUCAGUAUUUGGGGCCAGUAAUUUUCUUCCAGGAGACAGUUCUGUGCUCCAUAGGGUAGACGCCAGAAACUGAUUGCUAUUGGAUGCCAGGAACACUCCCCUCCCCUCCAAGUUCUGAAAACCACAGAUGUCUCCAGAAAUUGCCAGGUAAUCCCCAUCCAGAUGA
Ochotona princeps (American pika) is the source of this 374-nucleotide long non-coding RNA. RefSeq lists it as uncharacterized. The transcript has 3 exons. Lineage: Eukaryota; Metazoa; Chordata; Mammalia; Lagomorpha; Ochotonidae. The record is from RefSeq and is a predicted model, not a curated record.